GCGUGCUACACAUGCAAGUCGAACGGUACUUCGGGUACAGUGGCGAACGGGUGAGUAACACGUGGUUUACCUACCCCAGAGAGCGGGACAACGGAUCGAAAGGUCUGCUAAUACCGCAUAAGCUCACGUUGAAUAGCGAGAUGUGAGAAAAGGCGCAAGCCGCUGUGGGAUGGGACUGCGGUCCAUCAGCUAGUUGGUGAGGUAAUGGCUCACCAAGGCGACGACGGAUAGGGGGCCUGAGAGGGUGACCCUCCACACUGGAACUGAGACACGGUCCAGACUCCUACGGGAGGCAGCAGUGAUGAAUAUUGCUCAAUGGGGGCAACCCUGAAGCAGCAACGCCGCGUGGGUGAUGAAGGCUUUCGGGCCGUAAAGCCCUUUUCUGUGUGACGAGAACGGACGGUAGCACAGGAAUAAGUGUCGGCUAACUACGUGCCAGCAGCCGCGGUAAAACGUAGGACGCAAGCAUUAUCCGGAAUUACUGGGCGUAAAGAGCGCGCAGGCGGUUAAGUAAGUCAUGUAUGAAAGCUCUGGGCUAAACUCGGAGAGGGGACAUGAUACUGCUAAACUUGAGUGGGUCAGAGGGGUGUAGAAUUCCGCGUGUAGUGGUGAAAUGCGUAGAUAUGCGGAGGA
RNAcentral lists this ribosomal RNA (633 nucleotides) under uncultured bacterium. RNAcentral describes it as "bacterial SSU rRNA". It matches the Rfam family "Bacterial small subunit ribosomal RNA", at positions 42 to 705 of the family's 1533-position model. The record is from RNAcentral.